GAGUCCGUAGCUCAGCUGGUAGAGCAACUGACUUUUAAUCAGUAGGUCUCGGGUUCGAACCCCGACGGACUCACCA
Molecule: transfer RNA, 76 nt
Filed under: Hyphomicrobiales bacterium
Lineage: Bacteria; Pseudomonadati; Pseudomonadota; Alphaproteobacteria; Hyphomicrobiales
Description: Rhizobiales bacterium (seawater metagenome) tRNA-Lys
Rfam family: tRNA
About the family: Transfer RNA (tRNA) molecules are approximately 80 nucleotides in length. Their secondary structure includes four short double-helical elements and three loops (D, anti-codon, and T loops).
Source: RNAcentral